Molecule: ribosomal RNA, 253 nt
Filed under: uncultured bacterium
Lineage: Bacteria
Description: partial 16S ribosomal RNA
Rfam family: Bacterial small subunit ribosomal RNA
Source: RNAcentral
UACGUAGGUGGCAAGCGUUGUCCGGAUUUAUUGGGUUUAAAGGGUGCGUAGGCGGCCCCGUAAGUCAGUGCUGAAAUAUCCCGGCUUAACCGGGAGGGUGGCAUUGAUACUGCGAGGCUUGAGUAAAGUUGAGGUAGGCGGAAUUGACGGUGUAGCGGUGAAAUGCUUAGAUAUCGUCAAGAACACCGAUAGUGUAGACAGCUUACUAGCUUAACUUGAACGCUGAGGCACGAAAGUGUGGGGAUCAAACAGG